Long non-coding RNA from Rana temporaria (common frog), 536 nucleotides. RefSeq lists it as uncharacterized. NCBI's taxonomy places the organism in Eukaryota, Metazoa, Chordata, Amphibia, Anura, Ranidae. The record is from RefSeq and is a predicted model, not a curated record. The transcript has 3 exons.
CCUUUCCCUUACAGGCUAUUGGUUGCAGGAUGUCAUGUGACAUCUGCGAUUAGCCCCCGGCGGCGACGUCAGACGCUGUUCCUCUCUGGGGGGUAUUUAAAGCACAGCUUUUUGGCUGCUAACACUGACAGGGCUAUACAGCCCCGGACACUAUUUACUGCUGUCGGUUCAGCAUUUUGUUUACCACCCUCGAUACACAGCCUCUUCUCUCACUGUGGGAUUGACUGAUUCUUGGGGGCACCUUUCUGAGGCGUUUGCUUGGGAAUUUAUGCUCUUCUUAUUCCCCUCAUCAACCUUCAUUGCAUUUCAAGUAUCAUCUUUACUGUGCAUUUGGAUUUGCUGCUCUGUGGUAUGCCUUGUACAAGCUCCUGAUGAAGCCCUGCUCGGGGCGAAACAUGUUGGGCACUCCAUGUACAGGUCAUGAAUGUGGCUCCCUCUGAAGCCACGCAUAUCCAUUUAGGAUCAUAUUGUGGUUGUUUGUACUUCCAUUUUUUUAUGUAUGUGUUAAUUAAAUAAAUUAUAUAUUUUUCUACCUA